Molecule: long non-coding RNA, 5096 nt
Organism: Aegilops tauschii subsp. strangulata
Lineage: Eukaryota; Viridiplantae; Streptophyta; Magnoliopsida; Poales; Poaceae
Source: RefSeq, a predicted model, not a curated record
ACCAUGGUGUUGUUUUUGUGCAGAAAUAAAAGUUCUCGGAUUGGAACGAAACUUUGCGAGAAACUUUUAUACAAAUCUAUACCUAUACUAAUUAUGGACUCCCAAGAAAUUACCGUGUUAAUCAGAAAUUAAGAACCGUUCAUCUGGUGGGACCGAGUUAUUACGGUGGUAAUCAGAAAUUAAGAACCGUUCAUCUGGUGGGACCGAGUUAUUACGGUAUAGAUCUAACCAUGUCCUCGCAUUAUUAAAGCAACCUAUAUUUCUUUGACAGAAAAAAAGAAUCUCUAUCUAACCAUGUCCUCGCAUUAUUAAAGCAACCUAUAUUUCUUUGACAGAAAAAAUAAGAAUCUCUAUCUCAUUACGUGUAGAUCAAACCAUGUACUCCCCUAUUUAAAGCAUCCUCUAUCUCUUUCACAGAAAAAAAACAGAAAAAAACAAUCUGUAUGUACUUUAUACUCCACGGUCUCUUCCUUCUGCACGCCAUCUUCCUCUCCCCUUCACGGACUCUUCCUAUUCUACAUAAUCGGUCUGUCUCCCAUGGUCAACAAAUCCAUCCAUGGCCUCUUCCUCUUCUCUGUUCUAUCUCCUCUAGUGGACAAAAUUUGGUUCUCAACCAGAGAGGAACCCCUCUCUCUCUACCAAACGUGAAGGAGCAUGUGUGAAGGUUUUGGAGCAGCCCAAGGCUGCAGCCGACAGCCAGAACAGCCAGAUGGGACUCCGACGAUUUCUCCAUUAGCCCGAUCAGAUUUGGCGAUUAGGAUGAGGUAGAGAGGACAACGAUACAGUUGUUGAGCAUAUUGCCGCUCUUCCUCACCGUCCAUGGAUCCACCUCGAUGCGUCUAUCCAUUGGUAGGUCCUUGAUUUCAGUCUUCCGUCCAUGCCAGAAUCGAUCUGAAAGAAAGUGUGCAUGAUCCAAUCCAUUCUCUACUGCUGCAUGUGAUCGUUUUCUUCUCCGGCAUCAGAAAUCUUGAAACUAAUCAGCUUUCAAGUUCUUGCGACACAGUAAUCGAACAUCUAUUUUAGGACAGCUCAUCGAUUGCCUAAAGAUGGUUGAUGGCUUGAUACUACCGAGGAGACUGUUGGAAGUAGAUUAGAUGGUCAUCACCGUCGACGAGGCUGCCGAGCAAAAGAACAGUGUACCAAAGACUGUUGGAAGCAGAUUAGAUGGUCGUCGCUGUGGACGAGGCUGCCGAGCAAAAGAACUAUGUACCAAAGACUCUUGAAAACAGAUUAGAUGAUCGCCGCGGUCCACGAGGCUGUCAAGCAAAAGAUCUAUGGAGGAUUGGUUGUUGUGCUGUUUACCUGCUUAACAAAAUUCGACUUUGUCGACGGUAACCUUAGCAGCAGGCUAUUGAAAGUUUUUUAACCGCAAACCCUAGCUUGGCCGCCCACUGAAAGACCGAGCGCCCUCUGUCUCGCCAUCUUGGGCCUCUCACCGAGAGGGCAGCGGGAACAAUGGAACCGUGCGGUUGUCGGUGCCCAUGUGCGGUGGAGCGGCUGCAGUCCUGCAACCCGCCCUUCCUCAAGUGGCACACAUGGUUGGCGGCGUGACACCAACGGCAAACAACGUCUGGUAGAGGAGCUUCAGCAGGAGGUGGUGCGCCAGAGCCAACAGUGGCAUUCUUUUUCGUUGCCGGCAUACUGAAAAGUAGUGUGGACUGAAGCUAUGAGAUGCUCAUGCAUGUGCCCAGCAACUAAGAUCAGUUAGACUCCUAGGAGGAUGAAAUCCAUGUAAAGGUAAUGUGUACAGAGAACGAGGCUGCAGAGCCAAAUAACUAUGUCAGGCAGGUGGCCCAGCUAUUCACCUUCUUAAAACUGUUUUGUUUUUGGGUGACGGUCGCCUCUGUGUCCACUCAACAGGGAAUUUCAGUGCAUAUGCAAGUAAACUGUUUCAUAUCUAUCCUGAAUUUCCUGCACUACAUAAUUUUAUCCAUAUAAUAUUUCUGUAAUAGUACCCUGUCCUAAAUGUUAGUGCUGUUUCUGCAAUUUUGUAAGCCAGAUUUGUUGCAAGUGCAGUGCAUAUGCAAGUAAUCUGGGCUGGACUAAUCUUGAAGUUUUCCAUCAAUUUUUAUACAACAAAAUAUUUGUCCUUAUCACAUUUAUAGUACGCACUGGGCAAUCAUGAUUCAUGGCCAGUAGAUAUAUAUGUUGGCUGAUGAAAAUUACUUUAGGGUAUCCAUUCUGCUAUAUUUUACAUACUGACAAUUUUUUAACAUAUGAUCUGGUAGAGAAAACAUAGAGAGAAAUUUUCUGCAUUCAACAUGAUUCAGUUUCCAGCCCGUGUAGAUUAAUCAUUUAAUGAGCUAACUAGAAUUUUAAGGCAUUUAGUGCAUUUUCAGUUAUGGUCGUGGACUGUGCACACACUUCAGUGAAUGAAAAACAUCAAGCAUUACUUCUUACAUGCGUGAAGCAUUUUACCAUAACUAGCUGAAUCAACGGACACUGUAUGGCAAGGCGAACAAGCACACUAAAUAAGACGACCCAUCAUAAUUCCAAGCUAUUUUUACAGAGGCAUUUCACCGGACUAUGUUGUGAUUAGCUUUUUUCGUAAGCUUCAGAAGGUUAUCUUGGAUUGAGACGACACUUUGCAAUUUUACACUUUUUUGUAUUAGUUCUGAAGACCAAAUUUACAAAAUUGAACUGGUGGUGAGUUCAAUCUGGUCUGAAGCUUCUGUCUACUAUCUUUUUUGCAGGUCGAACAUAAAAGGAUGCACAUUGGUUUUUUAGAUUGAAUAUAAGGUUUCAUGAAGAAACCUUGAGGUAUCAAUCCAGUCUCACUUUUUUAUUCAUUGUUUAUUGUUUGCUCUGCACUCCCAAAUAACCAUGGUGUAUAUCAUUAUUAUUUUUGUUGGAAGGCAGACUAUGAAAGGUGUUUCUUGCUAAUUAUAAUUCUGUUCACCAUAAAUAUCUGAAGUUUUUGGUUCAGUUUUUGAACUACUGAAAGUUGAUGCUAAGACCCAAUAAGAUCUUCCUGGAGCUGCCCUCUCGGAGCAAAUCUGCUAUAUCAUGCAUCUUCGUAAAUGAUAAAUUUAUGAUAGGCCCAAUAUAUACGAAAGCAUCUGGAUCUUAUGAAAUAUCAGGUGUUAAAGAGCAUUUAUCACUGUACUCUACCUGAUACAUUAAUCUUUUUGUUUUGGUUUCUAUUUAUGGUGAAAGAAUGGUUUCUUCGCCAUUUGGUUGAUGUUUAAUUAAACGAUAUUGGAAUCCUAUUUAAUAUUGUGCUGGUUACUACAGUUUUUCUUCCCAGGAAAGAACACCAAGUCACCUAUUGAAUAUUUGUUAGCUCAGCUGAUAUUCCAUAUUAGUUUUGCAUAUUGUGCUGCUUCCCAUCGACGUUUCCUCCUAGGAAACAACACGAUCAAUAUUUCACCCUGUUUAUAACAACCUGAUUGUUUCCGACAAUAGAAAUUGAGGCUCUCUUACAUGUUUAAUUUUGCACCCUGCUGUUGCAUAUAUAAUUUCGUUCUGAUAUAUGAAUAAACUGAAAGAGAUACAAACACUUUUCCUAAUCUACGGAAGACAUUAUUUCUACUUAAAAUCCAUCUCACGGGUCUAUCUUCUCUCUACAGGUAAAUAUAUGUGUUUUUAUACGUAUUCUUUGUACGCUUUCGUAGUACUUCAGUAAUCUAUAUAUGUCAUGUCCUGCUUGGCCAUGUCAAUAGGUAACACUAUCACCUUGGCUAGGUAGCUUCCUUAUUAUGAGGUUAGUCGAGUGAGGCUCCUCUUUACAUGAUUUGACCAUGCCUAGGCCAUAAGAUAGUUUUGAAAUCUGAAGAUACAUUAUGCUCGGAUGAUAUUAGCACCUCGGUGUCUAAUCUACCCGAUAUUACUUACAUGAUAGUUACCUACGGUCCAAGAUUUUCUAAAGGCAACUAAAUCAACUUAAUCUGAAUUCGGACACUAUUUUGUAAUCAAGAAUUGUGCUUAUGAGAUAUAUUACUUCAAAACUACACUGUUGAAUAUAAGAACUACUAAAUAUGUUCAGGAUAUGUCUCCCUAAAUUACGUACAUUACUUUUUAGUGAACUUGCAUUAUUUGAUACAUUUAUCUCAUAAAUACAAGUCAAAUACACACUUCUGAAAGAUCACAAUCUAAAAGCAUGAUGGAUUUGUAUCUUUCAGAUUAUAGACCAUCUCCUUUUUCUCUGUUACAUUGUUGCUCUCUACUCUUUAUCAACACUGAUAUAAUAAAAUGUAUCCAUACAUUCUCUCACUACAACACAGAAGGUCUGUAGAGACAUCCAUUAAUCAAUUAUAUGGGGAAGACCUUUCCACAUAUAUACCUCAUGAGCUCUUAUCAGUGUAUGUAUUUUGGUGGCAUCUAUGUAUGAUUGAUGUAAUAUGAUUAAUGCACAGUUUAUUUUCCAUUCUAGAUACUUUAUUUCAUUGGAUUUAUAUUGUAGGCAAAAGGAUCAUGGAAUAGCACGUGAGGUGUACUGUUUUUAGGACCUGUCUAUUUUGAUGCAUUGUAUUUGCAUACAUAUACCAAGUUUCCUUAAAUAUAUAUUACAGGAGAAUGGAUGAUCGAGUAGCACUCAAGAUGGCAAGGUGGUUGAGAUUUACGAAAUGUUGAAGCUUGAGGACUCAUGGGUCCAAGAGUACUACAGUGCAACAAACGACCCAAAAUUCAUACCAGCAGCACAAGAAAUAUGCAAACAGGGUGCACACAUACACCGCUUCAACUAGCGUAAAUAGAAACAACCUGGACUAGCUGCAGCCUAGAGGCGUCAGUUUUCAUUUGGUUGACGAUCGUCUACAGUGGUGUAUGUGAGUACUAAAACCCUUCCGUUCCUCUCCCGGCAUAUGCACCAAACGAUCAGUGGCACAAGGUAGUUGAGAUUAAGCCUCCUGCCACAAGACUUGGGGGACGACCUCAUUAAGAUUAUAUCCAACUGAAGCACCGAGCUCCAAAUGAUGGUGACGCCACAACAGCCCAAGAAAAGAUAUUGCACCGUUUCCUACGAAAGGUUGCAGAAAUAAUAUGAAGCAACAUGGGAGCAGGGAUGAUAUUUUUGGGAACAAAAUGUUAAUGUGGCUAACACAAAAACAGUAGCCACUGUAUCUAUGAAUUCUCUAUUGUCAAAAUGGGUUAUAUAA